Colossoma macropomum (tambaqui) is the source of this 842-nucleotide long non-coding RNA. RefSeq lists it as uncharacterized. Lineage: Eukaryota; Metazoa; Chordata; Actinopteri; Characiformes; Serrasalmidae. The record is from RefSeq and is a predicted model, not a curated record. The transcript has 3 exons.
CCUCUCAUGGCUCUGGGUUUGGAUUUUGAAUGAGUUCAUCAGUAAUCGGCAUGACGUUGAAAUGAGGAGAAACUGAAAAAGGAGAGGCUAAAUGUAUUGGUGUGGGCGUAGAGGUUAUAUUACACGCAUAUAAUGCUGUCUGCCUAACACAGCCGAAUCUACUGGAGCUCUGUGCAGCCAAAAUGCCUCUCUUAUAGGAAACACUGUAGCUGGAGACACAGCGGUGAAUUUUCACCAGCAGAGAGUUUCACAGUACGUUCUCUGUGUCGGACCUGCUAUAGAUCAGAGCUGUGAGAAGAUCAGCACCUGCUGAUGAAGGAAAACGGGGGACAGUCUCAGCAGAGGAGAGGAAGAACGAGAGAGGAGAGAAAGAAGAUGAAUGAACAGACUUUAACAGAGUCUAAUGAAGGUGUGAGAGAAGAGCUGAGAGUCCACAGAGAGAGCCGAGCAGACAGAGAAAAAGAAACUGAUGAGUGUGAUGUGAGGAGAGAGAGCAGAGAAAUAAGGAGCCGCAGUCUGGAUCGACUCACUCGUUUCUGAGGUUUCCACCAAAGUUCAAGCAGCUCAGAUGAAGAAAGCUGGAAGAUUAAUGGAUAAUCUGACUGAGUUUGAGAAAACUUGAUGGUUUCUAUUUAAACUGGACUCAUAUUUGAUUUAGUAGAAGGUGUUUGUGUUGAACUGUUUAUUUUAAUAUGCAGCACCUGUUACUCACAGUGAUGAUUUAUUUCUGUUAAAAAUACACUGUAGGUACUCUAUUCUGUAAAUACUGUUCAGUAUGUCAGCAGAAUUCAGAAAGUGUAUUCACUGUUUCCACAAAAUGUUAUUUUCUUUCCUUUUUAAAU